UUGCAUAUAACUUCAUUAGAACAAUCCAAAAACGAUAAGUAGACUGACAAAUCAAGUACUGGUCUUCGGAAGGGGGCAGUCCUGUCUGCGUAUUCAUUUCUCCGUUUCACCAACUUUUGACAAAUCAAGUAAUGGGCAUCGCAAGGGGGCAGUCCUGUCUGUGUAUUCAUUUCACGAACUUUAAUCUUUCUCUUUACAGAUAAAUAAAAUAUAAAUAAUAUGAAACAUGCAUGGAUUAGUUUUUAUCCAUGUUUCUUUAACCUUAAAAAUUGAAAGAAUAUCC
Molecule: long non-coding RNA, 283 nt
Filed under: Mytilus galloprovincialis (Mediterranean mussel)
Lineage: Eukaryota; Metazoa; Mollusca; Bivalvia; Mytilida; Mytilidae
Source: RNAcentral